Gossypium hirsutum (cotton) is the source of this 144-nucleotide non-coding RNA. The record is from Rfam. NCBI's taxonomy places the organism in Eukaryota, Viridiplantae, Streptophyta, Magnoliopsida, Malvales, Malvaceae.
UGUUAAAAAAUUAUCCAUCUGUACUAUUAAAAACUAAUUUAGCUAAUGAAAUAACUAGAUAGUAACAUGUGACAUGCCACGUAUACUUUAUGUUAACAUACAACAACCAAUUUUUAAUAAUAAAAAUGGAUGAAACUUUUAACA